AGGUUAUUAGUUUAAAUAAAAUUUUUGAUUUCGGCUCAAAAGAUUGUGGUUCAAAUCCACCAUUACCUU
This 69-nucleotide transfer RNA is filed under the name Rachycentron canadum (cobia). RNAcentral's name for it is "tRNA-Arg". It matches the Rfam family "tRNA". From Rfam's summary of the family: Transfer RNA (tRNA) molecules are approximately 80 nucleotides in length. Their secondary structure includes four short double-helical elements and three loops (D, anti-codon, and T loops). The record is from RNAcentral. Lineage: Eukaryota; Metazoa; Chordata; Actinopteri; Carangiformes; Rachycentridae.